This 394-nucleotide ribosomal RNA is filed under the name uncultured bacterium. RNAcentral describes it as "partial 16S ribosomal RNA". It matches the Rfam family "Bacterial small subunit ribosomal RNA", at positions 523 to 918 of the family's 1533-position model. The record is from RNAcentral.
ACACGUAGGGGGCGAGCGUUGUUCGGAAUCAUUGGGCGUAAAGGGCGUGCAGGCGGUCGUGCAAGUCCGGCGUGAAAGACCCCGGCCCAACCGGGGGGACGCGCUGGAAACUGCAGGGCUUGAGUACAGGAGGGGAUGCCGGAAUUCCAGGUGUAGGGGUGAAAUCUGUAGAUAUCUGGAAGAACACCAAUGGCGAAGGCAGGCAUCUGGCCAUGUACUGACGCUGAGACGCGAAGGUGCGGGGAGCAAACAGGUUUAGAUACCCUGGUAGUCCGCACAGUAAACGAUGUGCACCAGGUGGCGGGGGGUCGACCCCCGGUACCGUAGCUAACGCAUUAAGUGCACCGCCUGGGGAGUAUGCUCGCAAGGGUGAAACUCAAAGGAAUUGGCGGGG